GUUCUCCUACGGGGGGCAGCAGUCGGGAAUAUUGCACAAUGGAGGAAACUCUGAUGCAGUGACACCGCGUAUAGGAAGAAGGUUUUCGGAUUGUAAACUAUUUUAGACAGGGAAGAAAAAAGACAGUACCUGUAGAAUAAGCUCCGGCUAACUACGUGCCAGCAGCCGCGGUAAUACGUAGGGAGCAAGCGUUAUCCGGAUUUAUUGGGUUUAAAGGGUGCGUAGGCGGAACAUUAAGUCAGCGGUAAAAUCGAGGGGCUCAACCCCUUUAAGCCGUUGAAACUGGUGAUCUUGAGUGGGCGAGA
RNAcentral lists this ribosomal RNA (305 nucleotides) under uncultured bacterium. Its description in RNAcentral is "bacterial SSU rRNA". It matches the Rfam family "Bacterial small subunit ribosomal RNA", at positions 333 to 655 of the family's 1533-position model. The record is from RNAcentral.